Molecule: long non-coding RNA, 432 nt
Organism: Salvia splendens (bonfire salvia)
Lineage: Eukaryota; Viridiplantae; Streptophyta; Magnoliopsida; Lamiales; Lamiaceae
Exons: 2
Source: RefSeq, a predicted model, not a curated record
UCACUUUUAAGCAUAAAAAUGACUAUUCUUAUUCCCCAUAUGUUCCCAAAAAUAUCGACAGCCACUCUUCCUCCCUCCAUAACCAAUUUCUUCACAAAAUCCCAUCUUUAUUGAUGAAUCGAUGAAGCAAUUGCAUGAUUGGACUAUUUGGAGGUUAGUUGGCAUUAGAGAGUACGAGUUGAUGUUCUUCAUGUCUGUCUCAGUGCUGCAUCCUUGGAGGGUCACUGAGCUCUAGAUCUUUUGAAUUGUUAGAUGUGGCGUGUUAGCACUAAAUUUUGUAUUAAAUAACUGUGACGCCCCGAGAAUUUGCUCCUCUCUUUUGUUUAAGUCGGAUAUAUUAACUCGAUUAAUUCUCGUUGAGAUGACGUGGAAUUUUCGUUGUACCCUUCCGAUUUUGAAAUAACUUAAGUGUUGUUGUUUGGAGGAAUAAAA